CGAUGCAGCCUGUGUAGCAGCACCAACCACGGAGGCAGCUCUUUGGAAAGAAAGUGGCUCAGCCAGGACUGAAAGGCGCACGCUCUCUGAUGCUUUACAUAUAUCAACUCUACCAAGGAGCUAUCACCAUGCACACUUCCUAGUUAAGGAGACUGAGGCCUCCAGAAAAUAAAGUGCCCCACGUUACAGGUCUGGCACCUGCAACUGGAUUGUGUCUGAAACAUCCUGAAAGAAGAGUCCACGAGGCUCAGGGGACACCUUGUACCACACCAUGCUCCACGGCCCUUGUUGACUCAUUUAUAUGGUUUUUCUUGACCUCUAUCGUGAGCGUGAAUUCAAACCCUUUAGGAAAGGAAGACAGGUUUCCCAACAAACCUAUAACUCAUGGUACAGUGUCUCUGCAGACAAAUUGACAUUCCAUGGGAAGCCAAGGGUUUAUUUCUGAGGGUAAUGAUAAAAUCACUGUUUUUAAGGCCUUCACUUGCCCUGAUUUGACUUCACAUUCUCAGGAGGCCUGCACCCCCAUUCUCUCCAGAACAUCGACUUUAAUUUAAAGGUCUGUCAAAGAUCUUUGAAGGCCUAAAUCUUUCCCUUCCAGC
This is a long non-coding RNA of Mesoplodon densirostris (Blainville's beaked whale), 599 nucleotides long. RefSeq lists it as uncharacterized. The record is from RefSeq and is a predicted model, not a curated record. Lineage: Eukaryota; Metazoa; Chordata; Mammalia; Artiodactyla; Ziphiidae. The transcript has 3 exons.